RNAcentral lists this non-coding RNA (46 nucleotides) under Trichobilharzia regenti. The record is from RNAcentral. Lineage: Eukaryota; Metazoa; Platyhelminthes; Trematoda; Strigeidida; Schistosomatidae.
GUACUGCUGAAAAGUCCCAAAGUAGGACGAAACAGCUGUCCAGUGC